RNAcentral lists this ribosomal RNA (291 nucleotides) under uncultured bacterium. Its description in RNAcentral is "partial 16S ribosomal RNA". It matches the Rfam family "Archaeal small subunit ribosomal RNA", at positions 457 to 747 of the family's 1478-position model. The record is from RNAcentral.
GUGAGCCGCCGCGGUAAUACCGGCAGCUCAAGUGAUGUCCCAUAUUAUUGGGCCUAAAGCGUCCGUAGCUGGCCGACCAAGUCUCCCGGGAAAUCCACCCGCCCAACAGGUGGGCGUCCGGCGGAAACUGUGUGGCUUGGAACCGGAAGGCUCAGAGGGUACGUCCGGGGUAGGAGUGAAAUCCCGUAAUCCCGGACGGACCACCGAUGGCGAAAGCACUCUGAGAAGACGGCUUCAACAGUGAGGGACGAAAGCUAGGGUCUCAAACCGGAUUAGAAACCCCUGUAGUCC